AGGUUUUCUAUGAAAGGAUAUACCACGUAGAUAAAGUCGGGGGCUAAAAUUAGAUUUAAUAUGUAAUUGAUGGUUAAAAGGUUAAAUUUCCUUUACCAUAAUAUAUAAUUUAAACAAAUAGUGACCUAUAAUUUUUAUUAUAUUUUUAAGAUAUAGUUUCUUAAUAUAAUAAAAAUAUAUAGCUAGAAAAAUGUACUUGUUAUAUAUAUAUUAUGCCCGUACUAAAACUGACACAAGUAAGCAAGUAUAAAUGUACUAAGGAGUACGAAAUAACUUUCUCUAAGGAACUCGGCAAAAUAAUCCUGUAACUUCGGGAAAAAGGAUACCCUAAGGGUUGCAAUGAAAAGAUCCAAGCGACUGUUUAUCAAAAACACAAGUCUCCGCUAAGUUUAAUUACAAUGUAAGGAGACUGACACCUGCCCAGUGCUGGUAAGUUAAAAAAAAUAUUUUUAAUAUAAGUAUUUUUAUAAGCUCCAGUAAACGGCGGCUGUAACUAUAACGGUCCAAAGGUAGCGAAAUUCCUUGUCGGGUAAGUUCCGACCUGCACGAAAGGUGUAACGACUUGGAUGCUGUCUUGGAGAAAGAUUCGGUGAAAUAGAAAUGUCUGUGAAGAUACGGACUAUCUACACCAGGACAGAAAGACCCUAUGAAGCUUUACUAUAUUUUGAAAUUAAAAAUAAAAUAUAUUUGUGUAGAAUAAGUGGGAAACAAAUUAAUUUGUUUAUCUUGAAAUACCACUCUUAUAUAUUUUAUUUUUUUAUUAUAAUAUUGUUAACCAAUUAUAAGAAAAUUUUAAAAAGGUAGUUUGACUGGGGCGGUAGCCUCCUAAAAAGCAACGGAGGUGUACAAAGGUCUUUUUUUAAUUUAAAAAAUUUUUAAAUUAAAACUAUAAAGGGAUAAAAGGCUUGAUUGCAAGAGUUACUACUCGAGCAAGGACGAAAGUCGGUCUUAAUGAUCCGACAGUUCUUUGUGGAAAGGCUGUCGAUU
This 987-nucleotide ribosomal RNA is filed under the name Eimeria praecox. RNAcentral's name for it is "partial 23S large subunit ribosomal RNA". It matches the Rfam family "Bacterial large subunit ribosomal RNA", at positions 1348 to 2450 of the family's 2925-position model. The record is from RNAcentral. Lineage: Eukaryota; Apicomplexa; Conoidasida; Eucoccidiorida; Eimeriidae.